AGCGAACGCUGGCGGCGUGCUUAACACAUGCAAGUCGAACGUGAAAUGUAGCAAUACAGAGUAAAGUGGCGUACGGGUGAGUAACACGUGGGUAACCUACCAAAGAGCCUGGAAUAACCGACCGAAAGGUUGGCUAAUACUGGAUAGUUCAAAUGAAAUAUAAUGUUUCGAUUGGGAAAGGGAGCGAGCAAUCGCCUUCACUUUUUGAUGAGCCCGCGUCUGAUUAGCUAGUUGGUAGGGUAAUGGCCUACCAAGGCGACGAUCAGUAGCUGGUCUGAGAGGAUGAUCAGCCACACUGGAACUGAAACACGGUCCAGACUCCUACGGGAGGCAGCAGUGGGGAAUCUUGCGCAAUGGACGAAAGCCUGACGCAGCCACGCCGCGUGAGUGAAGAAGGCCUUCGGGUUGUAAAGCUCUGUCGGAAGGGACAAAAACGUUUAAGGUUAAUAGCCUUAGAUCUUGAUGGUACCUUCAAAGGAAGCACCGGCUAACUUCGUGCCAGCCGCCGCUGUAA
Molecule: ribosomal RNA, 514 nt
Filed under: uncultured bacterium
Lineage: Bacteria
Description: partial 16S ribosomal RNA
Rfam family: Bacterial small subunit ribosomal RNA
Source: RNAcentral